This 468-nucleotide ribosomal RNA is filed under the name uncultured bacterium. RNAcentral's name for it is "partial 16S ribosomal RNA". It matches the Rfam family "Bacterial small subunit ribosomal RNA", at positions 28 to 507 of the family's 1533-position model. The record is from RNAcentral.
GACGAACGCUGGCGGCGUGCUUAACACAUGCAAGUCGAACGGAAAGGCCCUGCUUUUGUGGGGUGCUCGAGUGGCGAACGGGUGAGUAACACGUGAGUAACCUGCCCUUGACUUUGGGAUAACUUCAGGAAACUGGGGCUAAUACCGGAUAGGAGCUCCUGCUGCAUGGUGGGGGUUGGAAAGUUUCGGCGGUUGGGGAUGGACUCGCGGCUUAUCAGCUUGUUGGUGGGGGAGUGGCUUACCAAGGCUUUGACGGGUCGCCGGCCUGGGAGGGUGACCGGCCACAUUGGGACUGAGAUACGGCGCAGACUCGUACGGGAGGCAGCAGUGGGGAAUAUUGCACAAUGGGCGGAAGCCUGAUGCAGCAACGCCGCGUGCGGGAUGACGGCCUUCGGGUUGUAAACCGCUUUCGCCUGUGACGAAGCGUGAGUGACGGUAAUGGGUAAAGAAGCACCGGCUAACUACGUG